GACGAACGCUGGCGGCGUGCUUAACACAUGCAAGUCGAACGGAAAGGCCCUGCUUUUGUGGGGUGCUCGAGUGGCGAACGGGUGAGUAACACGUGAGUAACCUGCCCUUGACUUUGGGAUAACUUCAGGAAACUGGGGUUAAUACCGGAUAGGAGCUCCUGCUGCAUGGUGGGGGUUGGAAAUUUUCGGCGGUUGGGGAUGGACUCGCGGCUUAUCAGCUUGUUGGUGGGGUAGUGGCUUACCAAGGCUUUGACGGGUAGCCGGCCUGAGAGGGUGACCGGCCACAUUAGGGCUGAGAUACGGCCCAGACUCCUACGGGAAGCAGCAGUGGGGAAUAUUGCACAAUGGGCGGAAGCCUGAUGCAGCAACGCCGCGGGCGGGAUGACGGCCUUCGGGUUGUAAACCGCUUUCGCCUGUGACGAAGCGUGAGUGACGGUAAUGGGUAAAGAAGCACCGGCUAACUACGUG
Molecule: ribosomal RNA, 468 nt
Filed under: uncultured bacterium
Lineage: Bacteria
Description: partial 16S ribosomal RNA
Rfam family: Bacterial small subunit ribosomal RNA
Source: RNAcentral